Molecule: ribosomal RNA, 370 nt
Filed under: uncultured bacterium
Lineage: Bacteria
Description: partial 16S ribosomal RNA
Rfam family: Bacterial small subunit ribosomal RNA
Source: RNAcentral
CCUACGGGAGGCAGCAGUGAGGAAUAUUGGUCAAUGGGCGCAAGCCUGAACCAGCCAAGUCGCGUGAGGGAUGACGGUCCUAUGGAUUGUAAACCUCUUUUGUCGGGGAGCAAGGCCCGCAACGUGGGGAGGGAAGGAGAGAACCCGAAGAAAAAGCAUCGGCUAACUCCGUGCCAGAAGCCGCGGUAAUACGGAGGAUGCGAGCGUUAUCCGGAUUGAUUGGGUUUAAAGGGAGGGUAGAUGGGUUGUUAUGUCAGUUGUGAAAGUUUGCGGCUCAACCGUAAAAUUGCAAUUGAUACUGGCAGUCUUGAGUAAAGUGGAGGUAGGCGGAAUUCGUGGUGUAGCGGUGACAUGCUUAGAUAUCACGAAG